ACAUAAUAAGCUAUUAGAAAACUAAUUCCAUAUACACCAAGGAACUCUUUGUAACAUUUCGAUGAAGAACUUUAACUUAAGGUGAAGACGAAGAAAGAAAAUAUAUAUAUGAAACGCUCGACAUAGGCGAUUGAUGUUUUAUUCACGAUGAUAACUCAACUCCCGUCAUCAGACUGCAGACUUCUCAUCGACUGAAUGCCA
This 201-nucleotide unclassified non-coding RNA is filed under the name Hevea brasiliensis (rubber tree). The record is from RNAcentral. Lineage: Eukaryota; Viridiplantae; Streptophyta; Magnoliopsida; Malpighiales; Euphorbiaceae.